CCUACGGGAGGCAGCAGUAAGGAAUAUUGGUCAAUGGACGCAAGUCUGAACCAGCCAUGCCGCGUGAAGGAUGAAGGUCCUCUGGAUUGUAAACUUCUUUUAUAGGGGACGAAAAAAGGGCAUUCUUGCUCACUUGACGGUACCCUAGGAAUAAGCACCGGCUAACUCCGUGCCAGCAGCCGCGGUAAUACGGAGGGUGCAAGCGUUAUCCGGAUUUACUGGGUUUAAAGGGUGCGUAGGUGGGUCUGUAAGUCAGUGGUGAAAUCUCCGGGCUUAACCCGGAAACUGCCAUUGAUACUAUAGGUCUUGAAUACUCUGGAGGUAAGCGGAAUAUGUCAUGUAGCGGUGAAAUGCUUAGAUAUGACAUAGAACACCAAUUGCGAAGGCAGCUUACUACGGGGUUAUUGACACUGAGGCACGAAAGCGUGGGGAUCAAACAGGAUUAGAUACCCUGGUAGUCCACGCCCUAAACGAUGGAUACUCGACAUCAGCGAUACACUGUUGGUGUCUGAGCGAAAGCAUUAAGUAUCCACCUGGGAAGUACGACCGCAAGGUUGAAACUUCAAAUGAGUUAGAGNGNGNGAGNGCGAGACGACGACGAGGAGAGG
Molecule: ribosomal RNA, 608 nt
Filed under: uncultured bacterium
Lineage: Bacteria
Description: bacterial SSU rRNA
Rfam family: Bacterial small subunit ribosomal RNA
Source: RNAcentral